CCGAAAACAUACUGGUGGCUAAACAGUCUAAACGAAGCGAGACCCACGUCGCACGCCCGAGCGUUCUCGGUGUACGCGUUCGAGGUUCUAACCCCGUGAAAGAAAUUUGCGUUAUGCGAAGUCGGGCGAGGGGCGCCUCGCCGAGCGUGCGCGUUUUUUUUGGCGCGCGCGUUCCAAUCAAAGCGUACCCACUUUCAACCCCACUAAACUCUGAAUCUGAACUAAAAAGGGGGGUGGUAAGUCGCCUUAACCGGCGCGCGCCCCCUCAACCUUUAACGUU
RNAcentral lists this unclassified non-coding RNA (280 nucleotides) under Chorda filum. RNAcentral's name for it is "ITS1". The record is from RNAcentral. Lineage: Eukaryota; Phaeophyceae; Laminariales; Chordaceae.